Molecule: long non-coding RNA, 1011 nt
Filed under: Vulpes vulpes (red fox)
Lineage: Eukaryota; Metazoa; Chordata; Mammalia; Carnivora; Canidae
Description: lncRNA (ENSVVUG00000022542.1)
Source: RNAcentral
AACCAUCCUAAUCAGAUGGAAGUGCCAAGAGAAAAUGUUGCUCUUUGGAAGGAAAGAAAGAAACCAUGUUAAGGAGGGGUGUUAUGCAAUGAAUUUUUAGAUAUUAAAAAAAAUAACAUCUAGACCAUUAAGUUUCUUUGGUUUUGUAGAUAAGUUUGUCAGAUAAGAGUUAGAAUACUCCAACAAUCACUGGACAUUUCUAUAGUAACCUGAGGUAGAAUUUCAAACUUCCAGAGAGAAAGGAAGAGUAACAGCAGCCCAUUUAGACUCAGUGUCCAUCUCUCCUACCUGUGCUUGCCUUCCAGUACCUUUCAUACCUUCUAAAAUGGCCUCUCACUCAUCAGGAGAGUUUGAGGGGUCACGGUUUUUUAGAUCAAACUCUGAAGAUAAAGAAGGAUGGGAACUUAUACUUUUAGGAAUGCUGUCAUUAGAAAAAAGACAGUGUUUCUCUGCUGGCCCAGUGUGUGAACCCUGGGUUGGUGCCCUGUUCCAGAUGGGAAGGCACGAUCAGAAAGGUUUGCCUCAGGACUCACUUUGCCACGAAUCGAGUCUCUGCGCCUCAUGGUGACAAGUUGUUUUCUCUCCUCUUGUACUACAUUCUGUCCUUGAUGGGAUAUAGAUAUUUUAAACCCAUGUCAGUGAGACAAGUCCCUCCUUUGAGGAGUGUAAAUCUAAAUGGAUCCACCGUCUGCUCCAGUGCUGGGGCACUGCGUGUGGAAAACCACUGAACUUUCUCUCAGCAGCUGUAACUUGGGGUGUACUGCAGGCAACUUCUUGUUCUACCUCGUGUACACUUGCUUUACUUGAGAUACUAGCUAUGUAAGAAUCAUUCUAAACAGUAUUUAAUGAUAUAAGAGUUGCUUACAAAAAAACUUGACUUGAUAGACGGCUAAAACCUUUAUAUUUUAUUCUUAAUUAAAGAAAUGAUGAAAUGAAAGGAGAUCUACUUAAUAGUAGGAAGUGUACCAGAUUUCAUUUGGCCUUGUUCUAGAGUAGUAUUUUAUAAACUUU